GCAUAUCAAUAAGCGGAGGAAAAGAAACCAACAGGGAUUGCCCCAGUAACGGCGAAGUGAAGCGGCAAGAGCUCAAAUUUGAAAGCUGGCUCCUUCGGGGUCCGCAUUGUAAUUUGUAGAGGAUGCUUCGGGAGCGGUCCCCAUCUAAGUGCCCUGGAACGGGACGUCAUAGAGGGUGAGAAUCCCGUAUGGGAUGGGGUGUCCGCGCCCGUGUGAAGCUCCUUCGACGAGUCGAGUUGUUUGGGAAUGCAGCUCUAAAUGGGUGGUAAAUUUCAUCUAAAGCUAAAUAUUGGCCGGAGACCGAUAGCGCACAAGUAGAGUGAUCGAAAGAUGAAAAGCACUUUGAAAAGAGAGUUAAAAAGCACGUGAAAUUGUUGAAAGGGAAGCGCUUGCGACCAGACUCGCUCGCGGGGUUCAGCCGGCAUUCGUGCCGGUGUAUUUCCCCGCGGGCGGGCCAGCGUCGGUUUGGGCGGUCGGUCAAAGGCCCUCGGAAGGUAACGCCCCUAGGGGCGUCUUAUAGCCGAGGGUGCAAUGCGACCUGCCUAGACCGAGGAACGCGCUUCGGCUCGGACGCUGGCAUAAUGGUCGUAAGCGACCCGUCUUGAAACACGGACCAAGGAGUCUAACAUCUACGCGAGUGUUCGGGUGUCAAACCCGUGCGCGAAGUGAAAGCGAACGGAGGUGGGAACCCUUACGGGUGCACCAUCGACCGAUCCUGAAGUCUUCGGAUGGAUUUGAGUAAGAGCGUAGCUGUUGGGACCCGAAAGAUGGUGAACUAUGCCUGAAUAGGGCGAAGCCAGAGGAAACUCUGGUGGAGGCUCGUAGCGGUUCUGACGUGCAAAUCGAUCGUCGAAUUUGGGGUAUAGGGGCGAAAGACUAAUCGAACCAUCUGGUAGCUGGUUCCUGC
RNAcentral lists this ribosomal RNA (907 nucleotides) under Penicillium roqueforti. RNAcentral's name for it is "LSU rRNA". It matches the Rfam family "Eukaryotic large subunit ribosomal RNA", at positions 38 to 961 of the family's 3401-position model. Lineage: Eukaryota; Fungi; Ascomycota; Eurotiomycetes; Eurotiales; Aspergillaceae. The record is from RNAcentral.